RNAcentral lists this ribosomal RNA (780 nucleotides) under Streptomyces sp. BTG 4-738. RNAcentral's name for it is "bacterial SSU rRNA". It matches the Rfam family "Bacterial small subunit ribosomal RNA", at positions 22 to 818 of the family's 1533-position model. Lineage: Bacteria; Bacillati; Actinomycetota; Actinomycetes; Kitasatosporales; Streptomycetaceae. The record is from RNAcentral.
GCUCAGGACGAACGCUGGCGGCGUGCUUAACACAUGCAAGUCGAACGAUGAACCACUUCGGUGGGGAUUAGUGGCGAACGGGUGAGUAACACGUGGGCAAUCUGCCCUUCACUCUGGGACAAGCCCUGGAAACGGGGUCUAAUACCGGAUACUGACCCUYGCAGGCAUCUGCGAGGUUCGAAAGCUCCGGCGGUGAAGGAUGAGCCCGCGGCCUAUCAGCUUGUUGGUGAGGUAAUGGCUCACCAAGGCGACGACGGGUAGCCGGCCUGAGAGGGCGACCGGCCACACUGGGACUGAGACACGGCCCAGACUCCUACGGGAGGCAGCAGUGGGGAAUAUUGCACAAUGGGCGAAAGCCUGAUGCAGCGACGCCGCGUGAGGGAUGACGGCCUUCGGGUUGUAAACCUCUUUCAGCAGGGAAGAAGCGAAAGUGACGGUACCUGCAGAAGAAGCGCCGGCUAACUACGUGCCAGCAGCCGCGGUAAUACGUAGGGCGCAAGCGUUGUCCGGAAUUAUUGGGCGUAAAGAGCUCGUAGGCGGCUUGUCACGUCGGUUGUGAAAGCCCGGGGCUUAACCCCGGGUCUGCAGUCGAUACGGGCAGGCUAGAGUUCGGUAGGGGAGAUCGGAAUUCCUGGUGUAGCGGUGAAAUGCGCAGAUAUCAGGAGGAACACCGGUGGCGAAGGCGGAUCUCUGGGCCGAUACUGACGCUGAGGAGCGAAAGCGUGGGGAGCGAACAGGAUUAGAUACCCUGGUAGUCCACGCCGUAAACGGUGGGCACUA